RNAcentral lists this transfer RNA (76 nucleotides) under Kluyveromyces dobzhanskii CBS 2104. Its description in RNAcentral is "tRNA-Ile". Lineage: Eukaryota; Fungi; Ascomycota; Saccharomycetes; Saccharomycetales; Saccharomycetaceae. The record is from RNAcentral.
AACGCGAUAGUCGUGGGUUCAAACCCCACCAGGGGCAGCCCCUGUAGCUCAGUGGUUUAGAGCAUCGUGCUUAUAG